RNAcentral lists this ribosomal RNA (253 nucleotides) under uncultured bacterium. RNAcentral's name for it is "partial 16S ribosomal RNA". It matches the Rfam family "Bacterial small subunit ribosomal RNA", at positions 524 to 776 of the family's 1533-position model. The record is from RNAcentral.
GACGAAGGGGGCUAGCGUUGUUCGGAAUUACUGGGGGUAAAGCGCGUGUAGGCGGUUUUCCAAGUUGGGUGUGAAAGCCUUGGGCUUAAACCAAGAAAUGCACUCAGUACUGGAAGACUAGAGGACCGGAGAGGAUAGUGGAAUUCCCAGUGUAGUGGUGAAAUACGUAGAGAUUGGGAAGAACACCAGUGGCGAAGGCGGCUAUCUGGACGGUUUCUGACGCUAAGACGCGAAAGCGUGGGGAGCAAACAGG